RNAcentral lists this long non-coding RNA (1238 nucleotides) under Catharus ustulatus (Swainson's thrush). Its description in RNAcentral is "lncRNA (ENSCUSG00005004570.1)". The record is from RNAcentral. Lineage: Eukaryota; Metazoa; Chordata; Aves; Passeriformes; Turdidae.
AAAUGUUACUGUAGUCCUCCUCUGGCAUUGUGACCUGGAUGCCUGCUGGCCCUGCUCUGCAAGGCUGAGGCUGCAUUCCACCUUUGACAUUUUGCCAUGAUCUUUCCAGUUUGAAGGGAGUGCUGGAAGUGGGGAAUCCCUCAAAGUGAUCUGUCAUCAGAAUUCUCAUUUAAAUGAUGCCAGAAGCAUUACCUUACACUUGGAAAAGCAGAUAUUUUAAUUGUGUUAUGCCAUAUGGUCACUACAAGACUUUUCAGAAACAUUUUUCCAGAGCUGAUCUAAGUGUUAGAGCAAACAUUGACAGCUCAUGUUAUUAGGAAGGACAGAAGAAAGAUCUAAGAAUUAGGAAAGACUGUUGUGUACCGUGAAGGUGUGAGGGAAGUUGAGGCAAUUAUGUCUUGAGUCCAUACCUAAAUCUGAUAGGAUUUACAAGCUGAAGACAUUCAAAUACAAUGGUCUACCUUGGUGUGAAGACUGUCAGAUUGUCACCAUGGUGUAAGGUAACAGUGAACUGCAUCUUUUGAGGAAAUCUGUUGACUUUUUGUAAAAUUAUUUUUUUCUCUGUGAGGCUAUACAUCAAAGUGAUAGAUUUCAAAGACAGUCCCUCUCCAAGCUCCCCAUCUCCCCAGUAAAUAGGGAUAUGGCUUUCAGCAGCACAACCAAUACAGUUAAAAGCCCUAGUUAUAAUUCACCUCUUGUGUAUUUUCAUUUUUAAGAGUCAAGGAGUGAGCAUCUUCAUUACAAAAACUAUGAAACUCAUCUAAAUUAUCUAUUGACCUCCUAUAACCAAUCCAGAAGGUGAUGGCCAUUCAUGUCUGCACACAAAGGCAGGAGGUGGGUCUGAACCAUAAGCAUGUGAACUUUCCUAAACUGUUUCCUACAUUUAUGAGAACCAUUUGUUAAGUAAUUUCAGACGGGCCCAUUUGCAACUGAUGCAGCUGACAGUGGUUAAUUUACAGAAAGUAAAUUAAUAAAUUAGUCAAGUACAUUCAUCAGGGUAAAUUUACCCACCCUGUCUGUACUUGCUCCAGUCUUCUCUCAAGUGGAAAACUUUCCUGUUGGAUCAAAUCACUUACCCAUGUGACAUUUCCUUUAUUUACAUAGACCCAACAAUGUCACACACUUCUGGUAAAAUCCUGUUGAAAUUAGUGGUGAAACUCCUCUAGACGUUCAUGAGGAUUUCUCUCUGACAAAAAAACCUUUCAGAGAAAAGCCAAAUACAUUUAAAUUUCUGCUUU